RNAcentral lists this ribosomal RNA (269 nucleotides) under uncultured bacterium. RNAcentral's name for it is "partial 16S ribosomal RNA". It matches the Rfam family "Bacterial small subunit ribosomal RNA", at positions 84 to 354 of the family's 1533-position model. The record is from RNAcentral.
UUUGAUGGCGACCGGCGCACGGGUGAGUAACACGUAUCCAACCUGCCGAUGACUCGGGGGUAGCCUUUCGAAAGAAAGAUUAAUACCCGAUGGCAUAGUUCUUCCGCAUGGUAGAACUAUUAAAGAAUUUCGGUCAUCGAUGGGGAUGCGUUCCAUUAGCUUGUUGGCGGGGUAACGGCCCACCAAGGCAUCGAUGGAUAGGGGUUCUGAGAGGAAGGUCCCCCACAUUGGAACUGAGACACGGUCCAAACUCCUACGGGAGGCAGCAG